This 359-nucleotide long non-coding RNA is filed under the name Homo sapiens (human). RNAcentral describes it as "non-protein coding JPX:51". Lineage: Eukaryota; Metazoa; Chordata; Mammalia; Primates; Hominidae. The record is from RNAcentral.
AUUGCUGGCUGCUUCACUCCUGGAACCUUCACUAACCAGAUCCAGGCAGCCUUCCGGGAGCCAUGGCUUGUGGUUACUGACCCCAGGGCUGACCACCAGCCUCUCACGGAGGCAUCUUAUGUUAACCAACUUACCAUUGCUCUGUGUAACACAGAUUCUCCUCUGUGAUACGUGGACAUUGCCAUCCCAUGCAACAACAAGGGAGCUCACUCAGUGGGUUUGAUGUGGUGGAUGCUGGCUCGGGAAGUUCUGCGCAUGCGUGGCACCAUUUCCCGUGAACACCCGUGGGAGUUCAUGCCUGAUCUCUACUUCUACAGAGAUCCUGAAGAGAUUGCAAAAGAAGAGCAGGCUGCUGCUGA